UCCGUAGGUGAACCUGCGGAGGGAUCAUUACACAACAAAAUAUGAAGGCCUGGCUUCGCGGCCGGCUGAAAUAUUUUUUUCACCCAUGUCUUUUGCGCACUUGUUGUUUCCUGGGCGGGUUCGCCCGCCACCAGGACCAAACCAUAAACCUUUUUUUUAUGCAGUUGCAAUCAGCGUCAGUAAAAACAAUGUAAUUAUUACAACUUUCAACAACGGAUCUCUUGGUUCUGGCAUCGAUGAAGAACGCAGCGAAAUGCGAUACGUAGUGUGAAUUGCAGAAUUCAGUGAAUCAUCGAAUCUUUGAACGCACAUUGCGCCCUUUGGUAUUCCAAAGGGCAUGCCUGUUUGAGCGUCAUUUGUACCUUCAAGCUUUGCUUGGUGUUGGGCGUUUUUUGUCUCCCUCUUUCUGGGAGACUCGCCUUAAAACGAUUGGCAGCCGGCCUACUGGUUUCGGAGCGCAGCACAUAUUUUGCGCUUUGUAUCAGGAGAAAAGGACGGUAAUCCAUCAAGACUCUACAUUUUUAACUUUUGACCUCGGAUCAGGUAGGGAUACCCGCUGAACUUAAGCAUAUCAAUAAGCGGAGGA
RNAcentral lists this ribosomal RNA (586 nucleotides) under Bipolaris sorokiniana. RNAcentral's name for it is "eukaryotic LSU rRNA". The stretch from base 202 to 355 matches the Rfam family "5.8S ribosomal RNA". The record is from RNAcentral. Lineage: Eukaryota; Fungi; Ascomycota; Dothideomycetes; Pleosporales; Pleosporaceae.